UGUCGUCAGCUCGUGUUGUGAAAUGUUGGGUUAAGUCCCGCAACGAGCGCAACCCUUAUCCUUUGUUGCCAGCGGUCCGGCCGGGAACUCAAAGGAGACUGCCAGUGAUAAACUGGAGGAAGGUGGGGAUGACGUCAAGUCAUCAUGGCCCUUACGACCAGGGCUACACACGUGCUACAAUGGCGCAUACAAAGAGAAGCGACCUCGCGAGAGCAAGCGGACCUCAUAAAGUGCGUCGUAGUCCGGAUUGGAGUCUGCAACUCGACUCCAUGAAGUCGGAAUCGCUAGUAAUCGUGGAUCAGAAUGCCACGGUGAAUACGUUCCCGGGCCUUGUACACACCGCCCGUCACACCAUGGGAGUGGGUUGCAAAAGAAGUAGGUAGCUUAACCUUCGGGAGGGCGCUUACCACUUUGUGAUUCAUGACUGGGGUGA
RNAcentral lists this ribosomal RNA (433 nucleotides) under Escherichia coli. Its description in RNAcentral is "bacterial SSU rRNA". It matches the Rfam family "Bacterial small subunit ribosomal RNA", at positions 1050 to 1483 of the family's 1533-position model. Lineage: Bacteria; Pseudomonadati; Pseudomonadota; Gammaproteobacteria; Enterobacterales; Enterobacteriaceae. The record is from RNAcentral.